Molecule: ribosomal RNA, 880 nt
Filed under: Vibrio jasicida
Lineage: Bacteria; Pseudomonadati; Pseudomonadota; Gammaproteobacteria; Vibrionales; Vibrionaceae
Description: bacterial SSU rRNA
Rfam family: Bacterial small subunit ribosomal RNA
Source: RNAcentral
AUGCAGUCGAGCGGAACGACUUAUCUGAACCUUCGGGGAACGUUAAGGGCGUCGAGCGGCGGACGGGUGAGUAAUGCCUAGGAAAUUGCCCUGAUGUGGGGGAUAACCAUUGGAAACGAUGGCUAAUACCGCAUGAUGCCUACGGGCCAAAGAGGGGGACCUUCGGGCCUCUCGCGUCAGGAUAUGCCUAGGUGGGAUUAGCUAGUUGGUGAGGUAAUGGCUCACCAAGGCGACGAUCCCUAGCUGGUCUGAGAGGAUGAUCAGCCACACUGGAACUGAGACACGGUCCAGACUCCUACGGGAGGCAGCAGUGGGGAAUAUUGCACAAUGGGCGCAAGCCUGAUGCAGCCAUGCCGCGUGUGUGAAGAAGGCCUUCGGGUUGUAAAGCACUUUCAGUCGUGAGGAAGGUGGUGUAGUUAAUAGCUACAUUAUUUGACGUUAGCGACAGAAGAAGCACCGGCUAACUCCGUGCCAGCAGCCGCGGUAAUACGGAGGGUGCGAGCGUUAAUCGGAAUUACUGGGCGUAAAGCGCAUGCAGGUGGUUUGUUAAGUCAGAUGUGAAAGCCCGGGGCUCAACCUCGGAAUAGCAUUUGAAACUGGCAGACUAGAGUACUGUAGAGGGGGGUAGAAUUUCAGGUGUAGCGGUGAAAUGCGUAGAGAUCUGAAGGAAUACCGGUGGCGAAGGCGGCCCCCUGGACAGAUACUGACACUCAGAUGCGAAAGCGUGGGGAGCAAACAGGAUUAGAUACCCUGGUAGUCCACGCCGUAAACGAUGUCUACUUGGAGGUUGUGGCCUUGAGCCGUGGCUUUCGGAGCUAACGCGUUAAGUAGACCGCCUGGGGAGUACGGUCGCAAGAUUAAAACUCAAAUGAAUUGACGG